Long non-coding RNA from Thunnus maccoyii (southern bluefin tuna), 230 nucleotides. RefSeq lists it as uncharacterized. The record is from RefSeq and is a predicted model, not a curated record. NCBI's taxonomy places the organism in Eukaryota, Metazoa, Chordata, Actinopteri, Scombriformes, Scombridae. The transcript is spliced from 3 exons.
GACAGAGACAGACGGUCUACCUGGUCAUGGAUCACCUGCUGAUGGUGUUGGUGUUGCUGUGGAGUUCAGGACUCCAGGCUGAAGAUAAACACCAACCAACAGGUUCUCAGUGUGAAAGCACAGCCAAGGCUGACAUCGUGCUGUUGGUCUGUGAAUCCAGGAACACCACCUCUGAAGACCAUGAAAACAUUAAGUCCUUUCUAACUCAAAUAGUCAACAACUUCAACAUG